GUGCUCACUUCAGCAGCACAUCUACUAAAACUGGAAUGAUACAGAGAUUAGCAUGACCACUGUGCAAGGAUGACAAGCAAAUUUGUGAAGCGGUCCAUAUUUG
RNAcentral lists this small nuclear RNA (103 nucleotides) under Mus pahari (shrew mouse). The record is from RNAcentral. Lineage: Eukaryota; Metazoa; Chordata; Mammalia; Rodentia; Muridae.